RNAcentral lists this ribosomal RNA (200 nucleotides) under uncultured bacterium. RNAcentral describes it as "partial 16S ribosomal RNA". It matches the Rfam family "Bacterial small subunit ribosomal RNA", at positions 524 to 722 of the family's 1533-position model. The record is from RNAcentral.
GACGUAGGGCGCGAGCGUUGUCCGGAUUUAUUGGGCGUAAAGAGCUCGUAGGCGGCUUGUUGCGUCGACUGUGAAAACCUGCGGCUCAACCGUGUGGUCUGCAGUCGAUACGGGCAGGCUGGAGUUCGGUAGGGGAGACUGGAAUUCCUGGUGUAGCGGUGAAAUGCGCAGAUAUCAGGAGGAACACCGGUGGCGAAGGC